RNAcentral lists this ribosomal RNA (164 nucleotides) under Coelogyne sanderiana. Its description in RNAcentral is "5.8S ribosomal RNA". It matches the Rfam family "5.8S ribosomal RNA". From Rfam's summary of the family: 5.8S ribosomal RNA (5.8S rRNA) is a component of the large subunit of the eukaryotic ribosome. It is transcribed by RNA polymerase I as part of the 45S precursor that also contains 18S and 28S rRNA. Lineage: Eukaryota; Viridiplantae; Streptophyta; Magnoliopsida; Asparagales; Orchidaceae. The record is from RNAcentral.
AAAAUGACUCUCGGCAAUGGAUAUCUCGGCUCUCGCAUCGAUAAAGAGCGCAGCGAAAUGCGAUACGUGGUGCGAAUUGCAGAAUCCCGCGAACCAUCGAGUCUUUGAACGCAAGUUGCGCCCGAGGCCAACCGGCCAAGGGCACGUCUGCCUGGGCGUCAAGC